GUCCACUCAACCCAGCCAGAACCAGACAUCUAAUUUUUACAAAUGUUUAUGUAAGUAGUCACUUCCAGUAUGUUCUAGCUAAUUGUAAGUUAUUUGGUCAUGCGCAUUCAUUCCAUCAUUGUAUCUUCAGAAGUGGCUCUCGAGGGAAUGCAGGGGGCUCGGAUCACUCUGAUAAUGUCUGUGGUUACGUUUGACUGAUUUGCCUCUUAGCUGCACCAUGUCUCCAUGGAAUUCCAUUUGAGAGAGAUUUAAAAAUUAAACAUCAUGAAUAUUCAACAAAGCUGCCUGAAAGUUCAGCUCCAAGUGACUUAAUCACCGUCUUUGCAAGUUUUCCUUGAAGAAGCCCUUGUUGGACCCAGGGAAGCAUUUUUAUUCUAGAUUGAAAAAAAAAUUAAAAGUUAAAUGUGAAUAUGGUGUUGAACAAUUCUAUGAAAUGUUGAAUUUUAAUGUCCCUGGAAAAACGUUUCACCCUGGCAGGGCUUUUGCUUUUUGAAGACAAGGUUGUUUCUUAAUGUCAUCUCUGCUGGUGGACACACUGCAUUAGUUUCCAGGGAACAUAGGGCCAAUUCAGAACAGAUAUGCAUUAAGUCCAUUUUAGUCUUCUUUGCUCUGAUUCAGAAGAGAGAAUCGUAAGUCACAAAAAGUCCCUUUCACAUCCUAAUAGCUGGAAUAGAACGAACAAAGGUGUUCAGAAAGAUUACCCCAAAGUUGAAAAAAAGAGUACCAUGAGCCCCUUGGAAUUAUUAUCCACUAUUCGACCUCAAGCCUCCUGAACAAACAAUGUAGUAGUCUUAAAGGCAAAUGAGAAAAUUAUUUAGUUACUGAAGGUCUGCUCACUUGCCAAACAAGCAAGAGAAUCAAAACUGAGGUCAAUAGUAAGGGGCUGUGAGUUGGCGAUGUCAUUAGCCAGAGUCCCUUUGCCUAAGCUCCUGGUAAUUCAAAGACUAGGCCAUACUGGAUCAAGUCCAAAGCCAGGAGGUUUUGUACCAAUAUCUUCCCUGUGGUGGACAUUGCGGCUUUCCACCUAUAAUCAAAGAACAAUAUAUCCAUUCACCGGAGUGUAAUUAAUUAGAGAUGUCACUGCUGAAGAACCUAUACUAACAAUAGCACAGUACAGGUGUUCUUCAUUUUAUAGUUGAUAAAUACUUUUUCAUAAUCUUAGGACCUUGACCUAGGAGGGGAGACACUAUUACCCGAGUUUUGCACAUAAGUAUAUACAUGCCCAGAGAGGUCAAAUAACUUGUCCCCAAAGUUCAAGUCUUUGGUGAGAUGUUGUGCAAGGCUGUAUACUUUAACACACUUAGAGUUCAGUCACAGUUCUGGUACUUACUAAAUAAUCUCAGAAAGGUCACUUAACUUAUCUGAGCCUCAGUUUCUUCAUUUUUUAGGGGGGGGUGAGGGUACUGGGGAUUCAACUCAGGGGCACCCGACCACUAAGCCACAUCCCCAGCCCUAUUUUGUAUUUUAUUUAGAGACAGGGUCUCCCUGAGUUGCUUAGGGCCUUGCUAAGUUGCUGAGGCUGGCUUUGAACUUGCGAUCCUCCUGCCUCAGCCUCCCAUGCCACUGGGAUCACAAGUGUGCACCCCUGCACCUGGCUUCAGUUUCUUCAUCUUUGCAGAGGAGAAAACACUAAUGAGCAUUAAAAGACAUCAUUCAUUUAAAGCAAUUUAUACCUCGGCUGGCUCACAAGGAAACUUCCGUAUAUAGAAAAUGAGAUGAUAACAUAAAAAUCAAUUUCAAAAGAUUCUCCAACACAUUCAAGGGGAUGUAAUGGAACAAUAGAAAGUUCGGUUCCAGCUCCAAUCUCUGCAAAGGUAAAUUACAUUAAGAACUCAAGCGAGAAGGAUGAUGAGUUACAGGCAUAGUAUGGUAUAUGAUAUUACAAGUAAUAUAUGAGUCAUCGUGUUUACUGUGAUUAAUAAGGCGGAAAGGUGGACACACAUCAGAAAACUUCUGAACAACAGUAAACCUACUGCUAGCUAGAUCCGUUCAGUUGAAGGAAAACCAGUGGACAAUCUGGUUUAUGUAAGUGUCAGGGUUUGGCUGUGAGGUGUUUCCCAGAAGCUCCUGGGUUAAUGCGGGAAUAUCCAGAGGUGAAAUGACUGGAUUGUGAGAGCUGUCACCUGAUCAGUCCAUCCUAGGUGAAUGGACCAGCUGGGUGGUAAAGGCAGGCAGGUGGGGCGUGGCUGGGGGAGAUGGGUCACUGGGGUCCUGCCCUGGAAGGGUGUGUCUCCCUUGUGGCCCUUUCCCCCCCCCCUCCCUUUCUCUGGUUCCUGGCUGCCAUAAGCCGGGCAGUUUCCUCUACCUCACCCUUCUGCAGUGAUGUCGGGCCUUGUCUUGGGCCCAAAGCAAUGGAGCAGGCCAUCUGUAGACUGAGACUUCCGAAAAGCACCGCGUACCUGUCAGACAUUUUGCCAUGACAAUCAAAAACAACUAAUUCUGUGUGUUUUAUGUGUUUCCAUAAGCACCCCCCACCAACACCCCCCCCCCCUUUUUUUUAAGCAACCAGGAGAGUGAAAUUUGAAGACUGAGAGCAAUGUGGGUUUUCUUUUUAAACUUUCCUUUUCUGGAAUCUCUAGUGAUUUACAGCAAAGUUUACUUGACCUUCCAGUAAAGGCUUCAGCUUAUUUGAGGGAAUGUGAAAGAGGAAGAUUCAGAAAUCAGAGUCACAGAGGCUGCCAGGAUGGGCAAACGGAUUCCAAACUCAGAAUCCUUGUGCCGUCAGCUCCCUUCUGAGACAGGAUCCUGGCGAAUCCAGGGCAGAACACUCAGCUCUUGGCAAGCAAGUUUCGGUAUAGGGCAAGUCAAACUCAACUGUUGGGAUGGUGACCCGGAGGAGUCACUGAAAACAGCCACUGACAGCUCCAUCCCCAGAGCCCUGAGAAGUCAUUAGGAGUUAGCAACCAGAAGCUUCUCAUUUAACAAAGGCAGAAAUGCUCUGGUACAGCUGGAGACCCUGAAGCAGGCAAUCCUCCCAAGGCACAAUUAGUGUAUCUGUCACGUUCUGAGUGUGGUACAUCAGGGUCCUACACAGGGUCUCAAUUACUCAUUUUUAAACCAUCGGCAUAUCAUAAAUAGUUCUUCCAAAACAGAUCCACAAAAAUCCCUCUUGCGCUGGUGCAGUGGUGCACACCUGUAAUCCCAGUGGCUUGAGAGGCUGGGGCAGGAGGAUCUAGAGUUCAAAGCCAGCCUCAGCAAAAGCAAGGCCCUAAGCAACUCAGUGAGACCCUGUCUCUAAAUAAAAUACAAAAUAGGGCUGGGGGCAUGGUUCAGUGGUUGAGUGCUCCUAAGUUCAAUCCCUGAUACCACCCCCCCCAAAAAAAAAUCCCUCUUGUAUUAUUUUGUCAUAAGGACAACAUAUUUCAUAUAUAUAAUAAAAUAUAUAUUAUAUAUAAUAAAACAUAUUAUAUAAUAAAAGUAUAUUUUUACAUAAUAAAAUAUAUAUUAUUUAAAUAUAUCAUAUACAUUAUAAAAUAUAUAUUAUAAUAUCACACAAUAUAUUACAUAAUAUAUAUUUUAUAAUAUAUAAAUUUUAAUAUUUAUAUGUACACAUUUAAAAUAUGUAGAAAUAUUUGCAUAUUUAUGUAUAUAUAUGUGAAUACUUCAUAUAUAAUAUUCAUAUAUAUGAAUAUUUCUCCCAUUCUGUAGGGUCUCUCUUUGUACUCUUGUUUGUUUUUUUUUGUUUAUAAUAUAUAUAUAUUUCAUAAAUACCGGUUUUAUAUAAUAUUUAUUUGAUGAAAUAUAUUAUAUAUUACCCAAUGUUUAUCUUGUAUAAAAUAUAUAUCGUAAACAUAGAAAUAUAUUUAAGGUUAAGUGAACCCACUUCCGUGGAGAUCUUUCUGGGAACUCCAUCCAUACGCACUUAGGAUCUAAUGACCUAUUUACCCGGGAAUCCUCUUACCAGAAGCCCUUCCCAACCAUUAAUAAUAUCCAAGUUCAAAACAUUAAGAGCAGUUCGCCCUGGCGAGUCCGAUGGAGAAAGGGGCUGAGAACCACUUUGCAGGCUUUUCCCGUGACAUUUCCUGCGGGCUCCCAGGGAGAGCGCGUCAGCCCCUGCGCGCAGCUGAGUUGGCUCACCCGGCCUGCAGCCCGGGCCUGCGUCCUCAGCCUGAUCUGAGAAUUGGAAGGAAGCCACCAAUGGGCAGCAGUCUGUAAACAGAUCGGUCCCUUCAGCUCCCCACAGCAGAGCAGAAAAUAAAGGCCAAUGAAAGGAAGCAUAAGGGAGAGAAAACUUGGGAACAGGCCAACGGAUUUCUUUGAGCCGUUUCAAAGUGAUACUGGUUGUUCUAAGGAGCUCACAUCAGGGUCAUUUGAUGGUGCAGGACUCUGCUGUCCAAUAGGGUAGUCACUUGUCACAGGCAACUCUUUAAAGUUAAACCCGAAUGAAUAAAAAUCAAAUAAAAUGAGCAAUUUAGUUCCUCAGUCACUCUAGCCACAUAUCCAGGGUUCAAGGCCAUGGCUGUCACAUAGGAGGCCACAGAGAGAGAAUGUUUGCCUCAGUUUGGGGGACAGCUGCUCUGAAACAAAGGAAGAUCAUCCUAAAACUGGCUAUUAAUUAGAACCCAGACUUUGUAGGGUUAGAAGUUAACUUGUAGAAGACUGAUAAUUGCAAAUGAUUUCUGUUCCUUAGUGAUGCAAAUAAUUUUGGUCCAGAAGAAAAGAGAACCCUACAGGUUACAGUUUUAUUGCUCUGAAGGAAAUUAACCAGUUUGGGAUCCAAAUUUGUCUUUUUUUUUUUGUUUGUUUAUUUAUUUUUUUGUACCAGGGAUUGAACCCAGGGGUGCUUAACCACAGAGCCCCAUCCCCAGCCCUUUUUAUAUUAUAUUUAGAGACAGGGUCUGGCUAGGUUGCUUAGGGCCUGGCCAACUUGCUGAGGCUGGCUUUGAUUCUCCUGCCUUAGCCUCCUUCUUGAGCCGCUGGGUAAAUUUGCCAUUUUGUUCCAGCUUUUUAACUGACUCCAAUCUAUAUCAGUCUUUGUAGAUUCUCUGAGCCAGCUUUGUCCCCUUGCUGUGUCCCCUGUUAGUGAGUUAAAGCCAUACUUGACAGGUACUCGCUAUAUAUUUGGGAGAAUUAUGUUUCUGACUUUUUAGAAAUUAUUUGUUGACAAAGGGAUUAAACAGAUGCACCCAGUAGGAAUCUGAUUUAAGUAGGGUCUAAAUUAAAUAUUGGGCACGUUGUUCUCCUGGCAACAUUCUUAGUUUUUCCAACAACAAAGCAAAGGUGGCAUAAAAAUUAAGAGUUCAAAUUUUCAAUACCUGGGUCAAGGUCCAUGAAGCUACUGUGAGCUAUAAAAAGUGAUGGAGGAAGAACUGUGUCUAUGACAAGGAAGAAUCUGGAAAAUAUUAUGGUGGGUCAAAGAAGCCAGUUAUAAAUGGCUACCUGCAUCCUGUAGGACUCCAUUCACACGAAAUGCUAGAGUAGGCAAAUCCACAGAGAGAGGACAGUUAGUGGUACCCGGAUGGGGAGGGGAGGGGAGGGAACCGGAGUGACUGCUCAUGGCCACAACAUUCUGGAAUCUGACAGUGGUGGUGGUCACACACUCUGAAUACCUUAAAAACUGCUGAAUUUGUAUCUCAGAGGGUAAAUGUUAUGGCAUGGGAACUAUAUAUUAAUAAAAUAAAAUCAUACAUUCGCUCCGAUAUUCACAUAUCAGUGUCCAGUGGUGAUUGAUAAGGUUGUCUUUGCCACUGGAUGCAAUAGGAGUUCAUUGUAAACUCACAAUGAGUACUGAAUGCAGAAGAGUUUUUGCUAAAAUAUCCCCUCGUCCAUUUUACCCAGUGUCCUUAAAAGAUUCUUUAAUAUUAUUUUUAUUUACUAUUAAAUAUUAUUUAAUAUUUAUUAAAAUUAGUUAUUUAUUAAAUAUUAAAAAUAUUCACUAAAUGCUAUUUAUUUAAUAAAUAUUAAUUAAAAUAUUGCUUUCAAAAAUUAAUAAAAAUAACAUUUAAGAUGAACACUUAAAGGAUUCCUUCCUUUGGGCCUAGGUAGGCUUUGGUCAUGUUAUUUUAAGAUAUUGGCUCCACCUCCAGUCCUGAGAUUCUCCAAGGGCAGCGCUGAGCAUGGGUCAUGGACCAUUCAGUCAACGCCAACUCCUUGGCUUUGAUUUCUGAUUCAUCUCGGGGAUCAUCAUAAGGAGGCCACCUCUGGGUAUUCCUCAGACUUAUUGCGGAAAAGCCACUUGAGCCAUUUUUCAGGAUCCAGUCAGCACACAGGAAGGACGCUUUGCCAGCCCCAAAGCCGGUUGGGUUGAUGAUUGUCAGUGAAGGGGGUGUGGCUGUAGUUGAGGGAACAUACAAGAGGUAAGGAAGUACCCAGCGAGCAGCGAACCCACACAGCCAUGAUCAUGGGCCAAAGAUACAGCGGAGGGACUUCCCUAUAGGAGACUUGAAUUUGAGGGAGGAGGGCAGAAAUACUGCAGCUUCUCUCCUUCCUUCCUCUGACUUUCUAGUCAAUCUCUCCCUCUAGGAAACCCAACUUGAAGCAAGCUGGCCAAGGAGCCCCAGGGACGCAGUCUCCAGGGGUCAGCCUCCUCAGGGACCAGGUUUGGAGACAAAUGUAUGGUUACUACAAGGUGCCUACUUGGUGCUGAUGCUUGAAACUCUCUCUAGAGCCAAGUGUGGUGGUGCAUACAUUUCUUCCCAGCAACUCAGGAGGCUGAGGUAGGAGGAUCACAAGUUCAAAGCCAGCCUCAGCAAUUUACCAAGGUCCUAAGUUGCUUAGCGAGACCCUGUCUCUAAAGAAAACAUAAAAAGGGCUGGGGAUGUUGCUCAGUGGUUAACUUCCUCUGGGUUCAAUCCUUAGUACCAAAAAGAAAGGAAGAAAGAAAUUCUCUCUGGAGGCCGCUCACAGCCCAGCCCCUUUCCUUCCUUCUGGCAACUUCUGUCGCUUCAUUAGCAAAUUCUGCUAUUAGAACAACAACCUAAGCAACUCAGAGGGUAUGCAAAGGCAACUUGUGCUACUUAAUUUCAAAGCUGCAUCUCUUUGAACAGCGUUAAAAUCUGUUUCUCAUAGAAGGCAAAUUAGUUAAUUUCAAAUGUGUGCUUUCUGAAUAUCAACAGACCACCCAAAUGUUUACUUAUUUUAAGCUGUCCUCCUAGUGAGUUUUAAGAAAAAAAAAUUUUUUUUUUUUAAUUGCUUUGAGAGACGGGGAGGAGGUUUUCAUGCGUAUAAAUUAUCUGCAUUAAGGGCCAGCUCCAUAUUAAAACAACAUUAAUUAUUCACUUAGCAAGGAUAAAGAAUUACCUAUCAUAGGAAAUCCCUAGUUUGACCUUCUUUUUGACAAACCUACUUGUAAGCCUCAAAUCUUCCCAAAUGUAUCUCUUAUUCAAACUUUCUUCCUGGAAAGGAGAAAAGGCAAUGCACAGAGAGACUGCUUUUAGGUCACUUCAUGUCUGAAAUGUUGGAGUAUGUGAGGUCUCUUGGGCCAGGAGGUCAUUUCUAGAAUUCUAGAACUUUUUUCAGUGCUUAACCACUGAGCCACAUCCCCAGUCCUUUUUAAUAUUUUAUUUAGAGACAGGGUCUCACUGAGUUUCUGAGGGCCUCGCUAAAUUGCUGAGGCUGGCUUUGAACUUGUGAUCCUCCUGCCUCAGCCUCCCAAGCUGCUGGGAUUACAAACUAGAACUGAAGAACAUUUUGUGGGGGAAAAAAUGCCCUUGUCUGUGACUCUUUAAAGUCCAAACUAAAGAAAACAUCAGCAAGGACAGUUCCAGGCUGGGGAUUUGGGGGCCUAACAGAGCAGGACCACCUGAGGAGGUGUCUGAGGCCUGGUGAGUUUCCAAGUCCCCACUCCCUUUCCUCGUUCCCCAGUGACUUUCUGGAAACAGAACAAUCAUUAUCCAAACUCAACUCACAGUGGUCCACCAGGAGGAAAGUCUAUCAUCUGGAACACUUUAGUCUUUCUACAGCAGAGUGCAGGCAUGUCCUGGGGACCCAAGAAGAUGAGUAUCCAAAGAAGACAUUUUCAUUUGCUAGAAAACCCUGUGUCAUUUGAUCAGAAACCAUUUAGGGAUCUGAAUCUUUUUACUGUUUUCAUUUUUUUUUAAGGUACCAGGGAUUGAAUUCAGGGGCACUCGACCACUGAGCCCCAUCCUCAGCCCUAUUUUGUAGGGUCUCACGGAGUUGCUUAGAGCCUCACUUUUGCUGAGGCUGUCUUUAAACACGCGAUCCUCCUGCCUCAGCCUCCCCAGCAGCUGGGAUUACAGGUGUGCACCUGUACCUGGCUAAAUUGCCCUUGCCAACCUCUACAAAAUACUCUGAAUCAUAACAAUGAACUUAAAAUAAUUUUUGUUCUGCUUUUCACAAAUAGGAAAGUUGGAUCUAUAGCUGUUUUGAGACGUCUUGUGUGUGAACUCGAUGUUGCUGAGGGUGCAGGGUUGUUAAAAUUUUGAGAACAACUGCCAUCUACCUGGAGUCACCAAAGGAAAGGAGUGUCUACCAAACAAGGGUGGCACACAACACCAAACUGUAACUAGCUGGCGUGGCCAGUCUUUCCAGGUUAAUUUAUUUGUGUAAUUCAGCUGUUUGAUUUUCUGAGAAUCUCCUUUUCCACUGCAAAUAUCACUAUGAAAGGAUACGAUAUCUGGAAGUUUGGGGAAAAGUGGCAGAAUCCAAGUAGGGUGUCCCAUGGCUUUAAAACAGGAAAGGGAGCUAAAACUGUUUUUACCUACUUUGAAGUUUAUCUGAUGGUUUAUCAGCUCAGGCCAGCAUCUUUCCAAAAGAGAGAGCUUAAAGUUGAGACGAUUCCACUUAUUAGUGUAUGGUCUUUGAAAAAUCUCCAAAACGAUCUAAGUUUUACCACCAGGGAAACGGGGCUGUAAUACUACCUCAGUAUUUUUGUGAGGAUUAUGUGAAAUAAUGUAUAUAAAGUCACCAACAUGGUGCUUGGAACAUAGUAGGUGUUCAGUUAAAGGAACAUGGUGAUAAAGAUGAUUCUGUCUGCUCACAGCACAUCGCUAACCUGGGAAAAGCACUGAACUGUGUACAGAGCAGGGGAAACAGGGAGGAAGCAGAUGGCUGGGACAUUUCAAUGGCAGCUGGCUCUGUAUGUCACUACUUUCGUCCCAAGCUGGGAAUAGAGAGGCUUAAUAGAAGAAACUGCUUUGCUUUCUGUAGAGCUGAUGGGAUUCAGAGCCGAGAGGGAGGCCAGGGGAACCAUAAAUAGAGGAGAUGUCUAGUCCCCAGGUCUGUCCCUGGGAGCCUGUUUACUGAGCUCCAAGGAAACGGGUUUUAUUUGGCAAAUUAGGAUUUUAAAGUUCCUUGUAUCUGAAUGCUAAGCUUUCCUCCCUCCGACUGCUUUGUAAACUCGAAUACCUUGGCCUUGCAGAUAGAGAGCAGAGGCUGUGGCUUCUGGUCUGUGGGACGGUGAACUCGUCUGAUGUGAGAGAGGGAACGGUGGUGGGUGGUAGACGGCCACCGCACACUGGCUGUCCUCCCCUUGAAUUGGAUCGACAGCCGUGGAGCCACUGAGGGAGGAGCUGGGUCCCAGCUCAGAGGAGCUCUGAACAGAUGUGAGUUGGUCUCACUCUCUGUGGCAUCACGAGGUGAUAGGAUGGCCUCGAACUUGUGAUCCUCCUGAGCCGCAGGGAUUACAGGCGUGCACCACUGCAUGGGCUCAUGAUGUCAUUCUUCAGUGGUACCAUUCAUUUCAGAGGGGCAAGUGCUUGUAUACCCACAAAGAACCGGCUCAAUGGCUUGGUUUUCUGUCGUAUGGUUAGCAUCUUCAGAAAGAAAAUUCAUUUCGUUAAAUAAGUAUUGCAUGUUCACAAGAGGUGUGUAUGCAGUCAGUCACCCAAGGAGGACUAAGGACAGAGGGGGACCAGUGUGGAGCAGAGCUGCCAUGCUCAACACACUGCCACAGGGCCGGGAGCUUUCUCCAUUUUCUGCCAUUUACAUUUAGUUACAUUGUAGCUGCAGGCACCAUGAUCUCGCAAGCUCAAGGCAGUACUCUGUCAUCUGGGAUGUAACACCACACUUUGGGACUGCCAUGUCUCAGAGAGUGUCUGAAAAAGGGUCCCGAGGCCUCAGGUGCUAGAACGAAGUUGGAGCACAAGCCACCUCAUGUCCAUUCACCUGGGAAUGUCAUUUCAAAACCUACCUACAGACUCUUCUCCACUCCCAUCCAAACGCAGACGUCCUGGAUGACUGCUCUGAUCCUUAGAUUUUCCCAGACAUGUUAGAAAUCCCUUCGGGAUUAUCUAGUAUUGGGGUGUCCAUGCAUCUCCAGGGAGAGGCACAUCCCUAUCUCCUGGGAAUGGAAAUUCCCAUAAACACUCUGUAUACAGAGACCAGCAACUUUCUGGCCAACAACUCCCAUUCGGUUAAUCGAUUACUAUUGACGUCAGUGACACCCUCCAUCCUUCCCCCCAUUCGUGGUAAAGAAAAUGUAAAACCAAGUGAAUGUAAAGUUCUGCGUAGAAGGUUGAAGGCUGAAGGAACCCUGUAUUGUUCCUAUUAUCCCAGCAUCAUUACUAAUAGCAUCUCUGUCACCCCCAAAUUGUUGAAAUUUCAGUGAUAAAAUAUGUGAUGGCUAUCUUUAUGUAAAGAUGCUGCUGCUAUAACAAAGACCCCACCCCUGCCCUGCAAAGACAUGGGUUUAAAGAAUAUGGAGAUUCCUUCCUUUCUUAUGAAACAGUCCUGAGGUUAACCUUGUUUGAGGUUGCUCAAGUCUUCCCCACAGGAUCGUUGUUAUGGUUGGGAUGUGAGGUGUCCCCCAAAGGCUCACGUGUGAGACAGUGCAAGAAGGUCCAGAGGAGACAAGACUGGAUUGUGAGAGCCUCAACCCAACCAGUGAAUGACUCCCUGAUGGGAUUAACUGUGUGGUGGCUGGAGGCAGGUGGGUGUGGCUGGAGGAGGGAGCAUUGGGGGCGUGGCUUUGGGGUCUCUAUUUGUCUCUGGAGAGUGGAGUCUCUCUCUGCUUCCUGAUCACCAUGUGAGCUGCUUCCCUCCACCACACUCUUCCUCCAUGAUGUCCUGCCUCCCCUCCAGCCCUGAGGAAUGGAGCCUGCUGUCUGUAGACUGCGACCUCUGAAACCCUGAGCCCCCAGAUAAACUUCUCCUCCUCUACAGUUGUUCUGGUUGGGACUUUUAGUCACAGCAGUGAAAAAGCCGACCAAAACAGUCUUCCAGGAACCAAUGUUCUUUGCACAGUGUGGUCCUUCCCUGUCUUAGGAGGCUGGGUUUAUUCACACGUUUGAGCCUGGGUUAUAGUUUGGGAAGAGGAAGAGGAGGUCCGAAGGAGAGCAUGCCCAGAGACUGAAGGCCCAGCACCUCCUGCGGCCCCCAUUUCUAUUGGCACGAGUGUGAGUGACAGAGUCAUGCCUAGAGUUUUUCUCUAAAGUUCUUCUCAAAGCAAAGACCAGGGUGGAAGCUUUUGUGAUGUACUAGUAGGUAGCACAAGGCCAAGAAGGGGAAGUGGGUGCAAACAGAAUGUGGGAGGGAAGAAGCUAGAGUAGGUACGAGGGUGCCUUACUGAGCUGGGCAGCUCACGGCCUGGGGCCUGACUAUUGGUUCUUGUGCCAUCUUCUGACGGGUCAUGCACGCUGCUGGACGAGAAUUUCUAUUUCCUACUGGUGAAAGGUUCACAGUCACUAGAUCCCUUGAUAUUUCAAGUUGUGCAUCUUUUCGUCCUUGCUUUCUUCCUCUGCCCAUCCAACAGAGUUCUAUACUGUCCAGUUCUGUGAGUUGGGAUCAGUGCAUGCAAUUGUGUAGACACCACCACAGUCAAGUAAGGAGAGGGUCCAUCAUUGCUCGGUUGUAAUCAGCCUGCCCUUCAACUCAGCCUGUGGCAGCCAUUGGUUACCCCUGUUUUAUCUUGUACAGAAUGUUAUAUACAUGAAAUCAUAUUAUACAUAGCCAUUUAAUUCUGACUUCUUUCCCUUAACACAUAUGAUGUUUCCCAUGUUGUUCUAUGUAUUUACUGAAACUUUUUAAAUUCUUUUUUUGGGGGGGUACCAGGGAUUGAACUCAGGGGCACUCAACCACUGAGCCAUAUCCCCAGUCCUAUUUUGUACUUUAUUUAGAGACAGGGUCUCACUCAGUUGCUUAGCGCCUCACUAAGUUGCUGAGUCUGGCUUUGAACCUGCAAUCCUCCUGCCUCAGCCUCCCGAGCCACUGGGAUUGCCUUGCUGCAAAUACAGCUGGAUACAGUACCCACGGAAGAGAAAACAGAGUCAAGCCCAGCAGAACAACAGUCCUGGGUCUUUGCCUGGCCAAACCCUCACUGCGCAUGCGUCCUGAAACGGCACAGCCUCUUCUUGCCAUCAACUGGGAGCGCGGGUGGAGUCAGGAAGGAUCUGAGAACUGUGUCCCAGUUUCCAAAUGGCAGCUGACCUUGAUUGUUGCAGGCCUUCACCCUUCACCUGCAUGCUCUGCUGCUGGCACUCAGAAGGAUUCCAAAGGGAAACAGUGAGAUUCCUGUGGCUGCUCCUGCUGACUCAGCAGGCAGAAGCCCAGCCAGCUCCAGGGCUGCGGAGGCCCCAGCCUCCUGGGGGCCAGAUGAGGGGCGGGCGGGCAGCCUUGUUUACCCUGCAUCUCAGACCAAACAGCUGGGGGAACUGUAACCACUUGAGUUUGCCCCACUGCCUUGGAAAGGAAUUGGAGCGCACCACGCAAACAGGAAGCUUCUUUUUCUCCUUCUUUGUGACCCUCCUUCUCUCUUUCUGCUCUUCAUUCUCCUCCCCUCCUCCCCUUCUUUAUUAUCCCCUCCUCUUUUCUCUAGUUCUCCCUCUUUCCUUCCUCCCCCCCCCCCCAACUUUUAUAACAAAGUACUUUGGGAGAAAGUUUAAAAAAAAACAAAUCCUUUAUUUUUUAAAGCCAGGAGACUUUUUUUUUCCCCUCUCCCCAAAGAUUUAUUUGCAGCUGAACUAGUGAAAUAACUGGGCCAAAUGCUUCUUUCUUAUUCAGGCAAAAUGUCCAUGGAAAGUUCUGAAAGGGAUGAACCUCAUGGUGACCUGAGGGACUAUAUUUUUGGAAAGAGAAGAUGGCCUUCCCUGACUCCCCGGAUCCAGCCCCUGCCGUGGAGAGGCCUCUACUCCUCCAAGCAAAAGAAAAGAAGGAACUGGACACGGAGGGCCAAACUCCCCAGCGGUCAGCCUGACGAGCAUUGGACCCAGGACUUGCACCCCAAGUCCUCCUGCCAAUCCCUGUUCAUGUAUUCGGAAGGUGUAGUUUAAAGUACCCAUUCCAGCUCUUCUGUUUCAAUGGUAGGUGUCUUCAAGAACAGCUGAGGCAGGAGGAUGGCAAGUUCAAAGCCAGCCUCAGCAACUUAGCAAGGCCCUGAGCAACUCAGGGAGACCCUGUCUCUAAAUCAAAUAUUUAAGAAAGGGCGAGGGAUGUGGCUCAAUGGUUAAGCACCCCUGGGCUCAAUUCCUGGUUCAAAAAAAAAAAAAAAGUUCACCUUUCUAAGCCUCAGUUUCUCCAUCUUUAUAAGUGACAAUAACAAUGGCAUCCAUCUGACAAAGUUGUGUAUGCUGCAGGCACAGCACAGAGCCUGGCUCAGUUUGCAGUCAUUGGUAGUAAUUAUUAAUAAUUCAGUUAGCUAUGACUGCAACCAUCAAAUUAUCAUCUAGUCCACGCUCUCCACAAAGAGAAGCAUAUCAUGUUUAUCAAAUGCUGGAAUUGAAGGGCAUGAUGUCUGGAAUAUUUUAUUGAUCCAUCAAAAACAAAACUAUUGAAAGAGGAAAUAGAUCAGCAUGACUUGAACCUCUGCGGGCUCAUAGCCGUCUCUGGCUGAGCUCUUUUUCCUAAAUGUUCAUAAAAUGUGUGUGUAAUAACCCAUUGCCUUGGAGUUUUUAGAAUCCACAUUUUUCUCAUAUUUGAACACUGGAAUAACAUAUUCGUGUCUCUGAUUCGCUGGCCUCACUCCCAGUCUCCGAUUUCUCUGAGAUUACUGACAGUGGUUUUGUAAUCACAUCUGCAAGUUCUUUCUCUAUUCUAGAAUUUAAUUCAACUUGAACUCAUUAAGUAUCUAGUUCCCUUUACAUUAUCGCUUGUGAGAUCUCAUGCUUCAGUUCCUUAUCUAAAACUAAGUUUAUUUCAUAUAUAUUUGAUAUAUACCAUAUAUAAAAUAUAUUUAUAUAUAUUAACAUAUAUAUGUAUAUAUGUAGCUAUAUAUAUAUAUAUAUAUAUAUAUAUAUAUAUAUAUAUAUGUAGAUGUAAGGCUGAAGCAGGAGAAUUGCGAGUUCAAAGCCAG
RNAcentral lists this long non-coding RNA (14185 nucleotides) under Marmota monax (woodchuck). Lineage: Eukaryota; Metazoa; Chordata; Mammalia; Rodentia; Sciuridae. The record is from RNAcentral.